This is a long non-coding RNA of Carassius carassius (crucian carp), 314 nucleotides long. RefSeq lists it as uncharacterized. NCBI's taxonomy places the organism in Eukaryota, Metazoa, Chordata, Actinopteri, Cypriniformes, Cyprinidae. The transcript is spliced from 3 exons. The record is from RefSeq and is a predicted model, not a curated record.
UGUUAAGGGUCUAUGCGUUCUCGCACACCUCAGCGUGGAGUUCGAAAGCAAUCACAGUCCGGGAGCAGAAAAGGUCGGGCGUCCUCAUCCAGAUCUAGGCGUUCUCGCACACCUCAGCGUGGAGUUCAAAUGCCAUCACAGUCCGAGAGAGGCUUGUUCCCCAUGUCUCAAGCUAAAUACCAGAAGUCAGUGCUUGGAAAGCUAGUAGAAAUUCUUGAUGAGAUAAAAAGAGUCGGAAGGCACUAUGAGCCACUGAAUUCUGCUGUCCACGUUGCUAGGCUAGAAAACUUUGAAGAUUUUGCUGAAGAAGAGGC